AUUGAACGCUGGCGGCAUGCCUUACACAUGCAAGUCGAACGGUAACAGGUCUUCGGAUGCUGACGAGUGGCGAACGGGUGAGUAAUACAUCGGAACGUGCCUAGUAGUGGGGGAUAACUACUCGAAAGAGUGGCUAAUACCGCAUGAGAUCUACGGAUGAAAGCAGGGGAUCGCAAGACCUUGUGCUACUAGAGCGGCCGAUGGCAGAUUAGGUAGUUGGUGGGAUAAAAGCUUACCAAGCCGACGAUCUGUAGCUGGUCUGAGAGGACGAUCAGACACACUGGGACUGAGACACGGCCCAGACUCCUACGGGAGGCAGCAGUGGGGAAUUUUGGACAAUGGGCGCAAGCCUGAUCAAGCAAUGCCGCGUGCAGGAUGAAGGCCUGCGGGUUGUAAACUGCUUUUGUACGGAACGAAAAGCCCUGGGUUAAUACCCUGGGGUCAUGACGGUACCGUAAGAAUAAGCACCGGCUAACUACGUGCCAGCAGCCGCAGUAA
This 498-nucleotide ribosomal RNA is filed under the name uncultured bacterium. RNAcentral describes it as "partial 16S ribosomal RNA". It matches the Rfam family "Bacterial small subunit ribosomal RNA", at positions 30 to 523 of the family's 1533-position model. The record is from RNAcentral.